CCUACGGGGUGCAGCAGUGGGGAAUAUUGGACAAUGGGGGGAACCCUGAUCCAGCGACGCCGCGUGAGUGAAGAAGUAUUUCGGUCUGUAAAGCUCUAUCAGCAGGGCAGAAAGAAAUGACGGUACCUGACUAAGAAGCCCCGGCUAACUACGUGCCAGCAGCCGCGGUAAUACGUAGGGGGCAAGCUUUAUCCGGAUUUACUGGGUGUAAAGGGAGCGUAGACGGCGAUGCAAGUCUGAAGUGAAAGGCGGGGGCCCAACCUCCGGACUGCUUUGGAAACUGUAUGGCUGGAGUGCAGGAGAGGUAAGUGGAAUUCCUAGUGUAGCGGUGAAAUGCGUAGAGAUUAGGAGGAACACCAGUGGCGAAGGCGGCUUACUGGACUGUAACUGACGUUGAGGCUCGAGAGCGUGGGGAGCAAACAGGAUUAGAUACCCGGGUAGUC
RNAcentral lists this ribosomal RNA (443 nucleotides) under uncultured bacterium. RNAcentral's name for it is "partial 16S ribosomal RNA". It matches the Rfam family "Bacterial small subunit ribosomal RNA", at positions 338 to 795 of the family's 1533-position model. The record is from RNAcentral.